CAGGACGAACGCUGGCGGCACGCUUAACACAUGCAAGUCGAACGGAGAUAUUUGGUUUACUGAGAUAUCUUAGUGGCGGACGGGUGAGUAACACGUGAGCAACCUGCCUUUGAGAGAGGGAUAGCUUCUGGAAACGGAUGGUAAUACCUCAUGACAUACUUUUAUCGCAUGGUAGAAGUAUCAAAGAUUUAUCACUCAGAGAUGGGCUCGCGUCUGAUUAGCUAGUUGGUGAGGUAACGGCUCACCAAGGCGACGAUCAGUAGCCGGACUGAGAGGUUGAACGGCCACAUUGGGACUGAGACACGGCCCAGACUCCUACGGGAGGCAGCAGUGGGGAAUAUUGCACAAUGGGGGAAACCCUGAUGCAGCGAUGCCGCGUGGAGGAAGAAGGUUUUCGGAUUGUAAACUCCUGUCUUAAAGGACGAUAAUGACGGUACUUUAGGAGGAAGCUCCGGCUAACUACGUGCCAGCCGCCGC
This 477-nucleotide ribosomal RNA is filed under the name uncultured bacterium. Its description in RNAcentral is "bacterial SSU rRNA". It matches the Rfam family "Bacterial small subunit ribosomal RNA", at positions 25 to 518 of the family's 1533-position model. The record is from RNAcentral.